ACUCCUACGGGAGGCAGCAGUGGGGAAUAUUGCACAAUGGGCGCAAGCCUGAUGCAGCAACGCCGCGUGAGUGAUGAAGGCCUUCGGGUCGUAAAGCUCUGUCCUCAAGGAAGAAUAAAUGACGGUACUUGAGGAGGAAGCCCCGGCUAACUACGUGCCAGCAGCCGCGGUAAUACGUAGGGGCAAGCGUUAUCCGGAAUCACUGGGCGUAAAGGGUGCGUAGGCGGUUUUCAAGUCAGAAGUGAAAGGCUAUGGCUCAACCAUAGUAAGCUUUUGAAACUGUUAAACUUGAGUGCAGGAGAGGAAAGUGGAAUUCCUAGUGUAGAGGUGAAAUUCGUAGAUAUUAGGAGGAACACCAGUGGCGAAGGCGACUUUCUGGACUGUAACUGACGCUGAGGCACGAAAGCGU
This 409-nucleotide ribosomal RNA is filed under the name uncultured bacterium. RNAcentral describes it as "bacterial SSU rRNA". It matches the Rfam family "Bacterial small subunit ribosomal RNA", at positions 335 to 762 of the family's 1533-position model. The record is from RNAcentral.